Molecule: ribosomal RNA, 253 nt
Filed under: uncultured bacterium
Lineage: Bacteria
Description: partial 16S ribosomal RNA
Rfam family: Bacterial small subunit ribosomal RNA
Source: RNAcentral
UACGUAGGGGGCGAGCGUUGUGCGGAAUCAUUGGGCGUAAAGCGCGUGUAGGCGGCUCGGUAAGUCUGCUGUGAAAGUCCAGGGCUCAACCCUGGGAUGCCGGUGGAUACUGUCGAGCUCGAGUCCGGAAGAGGCGAGUGGAAUUCCUGGUGUAGCGGUGAAAUGCGCAGAUAUCAGGAGGAACACCAAUGGCGAAGGCAGCUCGCUGGGGCGUGACUGACGCUGAGACGCGAAAGCGUGGGGAGCAAACAGG